Molecule: ribosomal RNA, 1409 nt
Filed under: uncultured bacterium
Lineage: Bacteria
Description: bacterial SSU rRNA
Rfam family: Bacterial small subunit ribosomal RNA
Source: RNAcentral
AGAGUUUGAUCCUGGCUCAGGAUGAACGCUGGCGGCGUGCCUAAUACAUGCAAGUCGAACGCACAGCGAAAGGUGCUUGCACCUCUCAAGUGAGUGGCGAACGGGUGAGUAACACGUGGAUAACCUACCUCAAGGUUGGGGAUAACAUUUGGAAACAGAUGCUAAUACCGAAUAAAACUUCGUAUCGCAUGAUACAAGGUUAAAAGGCGCUACGGCGUCACCUAGAGAUGGAUCCGCGGUGCAUUAGUUAGUUGGUGGGGCAAAGGCCUACCAAGACAAUGAUGCAUAGCCGAGUUGAGAGACUGAUCGGCCACAUUGGGACUGAGACACGGCCCAAACUCCUACGGGAGGCUGCAGUAGGGAAUCUUCCACAAUGGGCGAAAGCCUGAUGGAGCAACGCCGCGUGUGUGAUGAAGGCUUUCGGGUCGUAAAGCACUGUUGUAUGGGAGGAACAGCUAGAGUAGGGAAUGACUUUAGUUUGACGGUACCAUACCAGAAAGGGACGGCUAAAUACGUGCCAGCAGCCGCGGUAAUACGUAUGUCCCGAGCGUUAUCCGGAUUUAUUGGGCGUAAAGCGAGCGCAGACGGUUGAUUAAGUCUGAUGUGAAAGCCCGGAGCUCAACUCCGGAAAGGCAUUGGAAACUGGUCAACUUGAGUGCAGUAGAGGUAAGUGGAACUCCAUGUGUAGCGGUGGAAUGCGUAGAUAUAUGGAAGAACACCAGCGGCGAAGGCGGCUUACUGGACUGUAACUGACGUUGAGGCUCGAAAGUGUGGGUAGCAAACAGGAUUAGAUACCCUGGUAGUCCACACCGUAAACGAUGAACACUAGGUGUUAGGAGGUUUCCGCCUCUUAGUGCCGAAGCUAACGCAUUAAGUGUUCCGCCUGGGGAGUACGACCGCAAGGUUGAAACUCAAAGGAAUUGACGGGGACCCGCACAAGCGGUGGAGCAUGUGGUUUAAUUCGAAGCAACGCGAAGAACCUUACCAGGUCUUGACAUCCUUUGAAGCUUUUAGAGAUAGAAGUGUUCUCUUCGGAGACAAAGUGACAGGUGGUGCAUGGUCGUCGUCAGCUCGUGUCGUGAGAUGUUGGGUUAAGUCCCGCAACGAGUGCAACCCUUAUUGUUAGUUGCCAGCAUUCAGAUGGGCACUCUAGCGAGACUGCCGGUGACAAACCGGAGGAAGGCGGGGACGACGUCAGAUCAUCAUGCCCCUUAUGACCUGGGCUACACACGUGCUACAAUGGCGUAUACAACGAGUUGCCAACCUGUGAAGGUGAGCUAAUCUCUUAAAGUACGUCUCAGUUCGGACUGCAGUCUGCAACUCGACUGCACGAAGUCGGAAUCGCUAGUAAUCGCGGAUCAGCACGCCGCGGUGAAUACGUUCCCGGGUCUUGCACUAACCGCCCGUCA